RNAcentral lists this long non-coding RNA (359 nucleotides) under Carica papaya (papaya). RNAcentral describes it as "long non-coding RNA (CPAP_LNC014653)". The record is from RNAcentral. Lineage: Eukaryota; Viridiplantae; Streptophyta; Magnoliopsida; Brassicales; Caricaceae.
UCAUCAACAUGUAAGAAAGAAAAGGUAAUAAAAGUCAAAAGCCGCCGGCUACUCUUAAUACCUCUAAGCCAAAACGACGCCGGCAAAGAGAACUCCAGCAAUGGCGGUUGCGGCAACGAAAGCCCUGUUGAUCCACCCGGCAUCGAAGCUUCCGUUUCCAGAAGGGGGAGAGUCGGCGCUCGGCUGCGCUGCGGGUUGGCCGGAGGGGGUGCCGCUCGGGGGAGCAGGUGGGGAGGAAGAAGAGCUGGGAGCGGGAGUAGGCUCGGCUGUGGGAGGAGUGACGGGGGUCGGAGUUGGGGGAGAGACGGGCGGUGGGGUUGGUGCGGGCGGUGGAGUGGCGGGCGGUGGGGUUGGUGCUG